This 243-nucleotide long non-coding RNA is filed under the name Lathyrus oleraceus (garden pea). Its description in RNAcentral is "Pisum sativum (pea) long non-coding RNA (PSAT_LNC013330)". Lineage: Eukaryota; Viridiplantae; Streptophyta; Magnoliopsida; Fabales; Fabaceae. The record is from RNAcentral.
GAAACCAACUGAGAGGUGAACACUUCACUGGGGAAGGAAAAAAUGGUACGAACACCGAAAGAUGAUGUUUACCGACAUAAAAAAGAAGCGACCAGACAUUUACCGAUGAUUGGAGUGAGACUCGAUGUUUACCGACACCGAAACAAUGGUGUUUACCGACACCAAGGAAAGACCACACGGGUGCAAACAUGACACUUACAGGUAUCACAGGAAUGACAUCUGCGUAUGUCAAGGCAAGUCUAA